This 943-nucleotide long non-coding RNA is filed under the name Strigops habroptila (Kakapo). Its description in RNAcentral is "lncRNA (ENSSHBG00005003391.1)". The record is from RNAcentral. Lineage: Eukaryota; Metazoa; Chordata; Aves; Psittaciformes; Psittacidae.
GAGACAGAGACACAGGCAGACAGAGGCAGAAACCCUGUGAGGAGGUGGACGGACCUAGCCGCCGCACCGGGCUCCCUGUCGCCGGCCCGGGCUCCCUGUCGCCGGCCCGGGCUCCCUGUCGCCGGCCCUGGCCCCACGGCCACCCCAGAGCAACAGAGACCACGAUUCACAGAUUUUUACACAAAUCUCAAGACCAACAUGCCUUAGGACCGACAAAGAAGAGUAGUCUGCAGCCUCCAGCGUUGCCCACCUGCCCAGCCUGCAGCAUCAAUAGCAGGCAUAAAGGUUAUACAACACUGGAAGCUUCAAUAAUGACAAUUCCAUGGGAAAUGUUGGUGCCAAGUGCAAACUUUGCUUUGGUGUAAGUGGGGGGAAGCUUUCGAAGUGAAAUAUAUGAAUUUCUCCAUUGAACAUCACGUCCUUUGUCUCCAGCAGCUAAGGUCAAAAAUGCCUCAAAUCUUAUGGCUGCAAGAGGUAUAAAAAAGGUAAGUGCUCAACCACUGUUGCUAAAGCAAUGGUUUCCUUACAGGAAAGGUUACCUUGACUAGAAAGUCUAUUGUGUGACAAGAUCACAGAGAUCAACUGAUCACUUCAACAACCAACACCACACAACGAACUUGUAUGCUUAUGUCUCACCUGCCCUAUGGAUCCCGUGGUGGUUUGCAGUUUCUCUGUGCAUUUUGACAUCAACAAGGUUGAUGAAAAGUAUGUGUCAAGGUGACCCUAACUUCUGCUUUGACUAAUUUGACUUUAGAAUUUGUCACUUUGGAGGAGGGAAAAAGGGAAUAUGCUAUUAACCUUUUUGGAAAGAACCGUACCUCAAUUAAGUAAAAUUAUUUUCUAGAUUAAACUGUUACGACCUCUUCCUAUAGUAUCAAAUAUUAUCUUAGGCCAAAUCUGUAAAAAAGUACUUAAUAUAUGGACCUAAAAUAAAUUGUUCAAG